CCCAAACUUGUUUUAUACCGAUCGGCCCUCAAGCAAAUGCUUGAUGGGCUUGUAUCCAGGCCCGGCCCUGCCUCCCUGUGUUCGGUUAUAACAUAAACAGAAAACUCAUAAUUAAAGGAGAAAACUUUAUUGUGUGUUUGCACCAAGUAAAGGUAAGGGAGAGUUAAUGGAAGAGAAAGAGAGAGAGACCUGGGAUGAAUGGAACUCGAGACAUGUCAAGUAAUCUUGCCUCAGCCAUCUCCUCCUCUUCUUCUUCUUCUUCUCUCUCUCUCUCUCUCUCUCUGUGAUCUCGUCUGGGUCUUGGCUUGCUUAUGUCGCUUACCCUUUGUGUAAAAGUUUUUAUCUAUGGUAAAACAGUCAUGACCUCUCAUUUUUUCUACUCUCCCUCUCUCUCUCUUUCACAUAACGACAAAGAGUCUAUGAGGAAGUGAUUAAAGAUGUAACGGAACAGAAUCGAAUAAGAACAGGCCCAUUUAUAUUCUACAGGCCC
This 490-nucleotide long non-coding RNA is filed under the name Brassica napus (rape). RNAcentral describes it as "long non-coding RNA (BNAP_LNC001602)". The record is from RNAcentral. Lineage: Eukaryota; Viridiplantae; Streptophyta; Magnoliopsida; Brassicales; Brassicaceae.